RNAcentral lists this ribosomal RNA (466 nucleotides) under uncultured Acidobacteriota bacterium. RNAcentral describes it as "bacterial SSU rRNA". It matches the Rfam family "Bacterial small subunit ribosomal RNA", at positions 338 to 795 of the family's 1533-position model. Lineage: Bacteria; Pseudomonadati; Acidobacteriota. The record is from RNAcentral.
CCUACGGGAGGCAGCAGUGGGGAAUUGUUCGCAAUGGGCGCAAGCCUGACGACGCAACGCCGCGUGGAGGACGAAGAUCUUCGGAUCGUAAACUCCUGUCGAGCGGGACGAACGGCCCCCGACCUAACACGUCGGGGGAGUGACGGUACCGCGCGAGGAAGCCCCGGCUAACUCCGUGCCAGCAGCCGCGGUAAUACGGGGGGGGCUAGCGUUGUUCGGAAUUACUGGGCGUAAAGGGCUCGUAGGCGGCCUUGUUAGUCGGACGUGAAAUCCCUCGGCUUAACCGGGGAACUGCGUCCGAUACUGCGAGGCUUGAAUCCGGGAGAGGGAUGCGGAAUUCCAGGUGUAGCGGUGAAAUGCGUAGAUAUCUGGAGGAACACCGGUGGCGAAGGCGGCAUCCUGGACCGGUAUUGACGCUGAGGAGCGAAAGCCAGGGGAGCAAACGGGAUUAGAUACCCUAGUAGUC